UUUAUGGAGAGUUUGAUCCUGGCUCAGGAUGAACGCUGGCGGCGUGCCUAAUACAUGCAAGUCGAGCGAACGGACGAGAAGCUUGCUUCUCUGAUGUUAGCGGCGGACGGGUGAGUAAAACGUGGAUAACCUACCUAUAAGACUGGGAUAACUUCGGGAAACCGGAGCUAAUACCGGAUAAUAUUUUGAA
Molecule: ribosomal RNA, 190 nt
Filed under: Staphylococcus aureus
Lineage: Bacteria; Bacillati; Bacillota; Bacilli; Caryophanales; Staphylococcaceae
Description: partial 16S ribosomal RNA
Rfam family: Bacterial small subunit ribosomal RNA
Source: RNAcentral